This 505-nucleotide ribosomal RNA is filed under the name uncultured bacterium. Its description in RNAcentral is "bacterial SSU rRNA". It matches the Rfam family "Bacterial small subunit ribosomal RNA", at positions 15 to 518 of the family's 1533-position model. The record is from RNAcentral.
GAUCAUGAUUCAGGAUGAACGCUAGCUACAGGCUUAACACAUGCAAGUCGAGGGGUAGCAGGGUAGCAAUACCGCUGACGACCGGCGCACGGGUGAGUAACACGUAUCCAACCUUCCCAUAACUCAGGGAUAGCCUUUCGAAAGAAAGAUUAAUACCUGAUAGUACUUUUUCAAGGCAUCUUGAGAAAGUUAAAGAUUUAUUGGUUAUGGAUGGGGAUGCGUUCCAUUAGAUAGUUGGUGAGGUAACGGCUCACCAAGUCUUCGAUGGAUAGGGGUUCUGAGAGGAAGGUCCCCACAUUGGUACUGAGACACGGACCAAACUCCUACGGGAGGCAGCAGUGAGGAAUAUUGGUCAAUGGGCGAGAGCCUGAACCAGCCAAGUAGCGUGAAGGAUGAAGGUCCUAUGGAUUGUAAACUUCUUUUAUAGUAGAAUAAAGUGAUCCACGUGUGGAUUUUUGUAUGUAUACUAUGAAUAAGGAUCGGCUAACUCCGUGCCAGCAGCCGC